AAGUCGUAACAAGGUUUCCGUAGGUGAACCUGCGGAAGGAUCAUUAUCACGUUAUCCACGUAUCAACCAUUGUGAACUAGUGCUUGACCUUUAAAUUGGGAAGGUAGCGUUGGAAUAAACCGUUAUCAAACAAUAAUGAUUGGAAAUUGUUGAGGUUUAUGACAAUCAAACAUUUACUUGUUUACUUUCUAAUUUAAAGUGUAUUUUUCCAAUCAAUUCUUUCAUUAACCAUUUAAACCCAAAAUUUUUCUAAAUUUUGAACUGAUUUAAUUUCUUACUUUCUCUUUUUUUUUUUAAAAAAAGAAGAGAGAGAAGAAAUAAAUGAUUACGAAACAUAAGAACAACUCUUAGCAACGGAUAUCUUGGUUCUC
This 371-nucleotide unclassified non-coding RNA is filed under the name fungal sp. RNAcentral's name for it is "partial internal transcribed spacer region". The stretch from base 1 to 46 matches the Rfam family "Eukaryotic small subunit ribosomal RNA", at positions 1786 to 1831 of the family's 1831-position model. Lineage: Eukaryota; Fungi. The record is from RNAcentral.